RNA transcript from Prosopis cineraria, 3970 nucleotides. It is a transcript of the gene named protein WHAT'S THIS FACTOR 1 homolog, chloroplastic, with no coding region annotated. The transcript has 5 exons. The record is from RefSeq and is a predicted model, not a curated record. NCBI's taxonomy places the organism in Eukaryota, Viridiplantae, Streptophyta, Magnoliopsida, Fabales, Fabaceae.
GUUUCGGUGCCGAGCCCCAGUGAGCACCGAAACCGAAUCCGUAAGAAGUAGCGAAUCCAUUUUUCUUCGUGGACAAAGCAAGAAUUCCACACUCCGUCAGACGCCGUCCACCGUUGUCAGCCCUGCGUGGUUGUUCUCAAUCAAGUGGUGAAGAAGGAUUAACUUUCUAUUGAGUGUUACAUGUGAAGGAGAACGCUGAGUAAUUGGAGGCUGGGAUGUUUCUGCAUAGAAUAAAUAAUAGUAACCGCAGAUUUUAUGCUACACCAUCUCUACAAUGCAUUGUGCGGAACUUCUCCCUCUGGUCUAUGAAGAAGGAUCCAGAUCUUGAAUCAGUUCUAUCUCGCAAUCGCCGCUGGAUUGUUAAUAACCAAAUCAAGAACAUUAUUCUUCGAUAUCAUAAUCAGGAAAUACCUGUGAAAGUUCUUCAGAAGAAAUUUAAGAACCUUGAUCUUCAAGGUAAAGCUCUCAAUUGGAUUAAAAAAUAUCCGUGCUGUUUUGAGCUUCAUCUCCAUGGUGACGAAUAUCACUGCCGACUGACAAAGAGGAUGAUGCAUUUGGUUGAAGAGGAAGAAUCAGUUAAAGACAUGCAGGAGCCAGUAUUUGUUAGGAGGUUAGGGAAGCUGUUGAUGAUGAGUGUAAAUAAGAGACUUAAUGUUGUUAAAAUUAAUGAGCUGAAGAGGAAUUUUGGUUUUCCAGAUGAUUAUUUAAUCAGAAUUAUUCCAAAGUAUCCACAUAUGUUUCGGAUUGUUAAUUAUAGUGGAAGACGAAAUGCAAUGGAAAUAGAACUGGUAUCUUGGAACCCUGAUUUGGCUAUUUCUACAGUGGAAGCAUCUGCUCAGGAACAGGGAACCCGCCCAAGUUUUACUUGCUCAUUACCUUCAUCAUGGGUAAAAUCUUGGGAAAGAUUUAAUGAAUUUAAUUCAAGCCCUUAUAUUUCACCUUACAUGGACCCAAAAGGUUUGGUGGAGGGAUCACAGGAGAUGGAGAAGAGGGCAAUAGCUCUGCUGCAUGAAUUGUUGUCAUUGACUCUCUGGAAAAAGGCCUCAAUUGUGAAACUGAGUCACUUUAAGAGGGAGUUUGUAUUACCAGAUAAGUUGAACAUUUUAUUACUGAAGCAUCCUGGGAUUUUUUACGUUUCAAAUAAGUAUCAAAUUUAUACAGUUCUGCUUCGAGAGGGAUAUAAUGGCUCUGAUCUCAUUCAUAAAGAUCCUCUGGUAGUUGUGAAGGAUAAAUUUGGGGAACUGAUGCAGGAGGGACUUCAUGAAUACAACCAGAGGCAUCGCUUAGUGAAUUUGGAGAAGAGGAGAAAGAAUGGUCUUCCUUUGGCUAGUGUAGAUAAAAGAAAGGAUAGAAGCGCUGAAAUUUCUGACUCAGAUGAUAGGGAAGAUAAAUUGGGAGGUUUGCUUAACCCGGAAGAAAGAAAACGGUUCUAUAAAGUUCUAUUUGAUGACGUUGCUCCAUAAAUUCUACCAAGAAAAGGGGGAAAUGAAGUGAUUAGUUAUACCACAUAGACAGGGGGGUAGAAGAAUUGUGAACUUUCAUCCAUGAAAGGCAGAAUACUUCCUGUGUGUUACAAGAGUUCAUCAUUUCCUUACCACUUCUGAAGAAACCUAAGGCUUGAUUUGAGAUACUGUUUAUGGUAACAACUAGAUGGGAUAGGCAUGCAGCUUGUAGGUAAGUCUGUUGAUCCACUUCUUUUUGUCUUCCCAAAAAACUGUGAAAAGAAUCUGGAUUGCAAUUUUGUACUAACGUGCAUUAGCACUUGGCACUUUUUGAAUGUGGAAGCAUGCCUUGAUUUUGGUGAGUUCUUGGUAUCUAACUUAUCUAAACUUUUUUUAUUUUUUAAUUAGAAAAAACAGAACUAUAAAACUAGGCUUUGAAACUUGGGCAUUCUCAACUGUUCUGAACAAUUUCAUAGGGUUUCAUAUAAUAAGCAAGUGAAUGAUGGUUCAGAGAAUGCCCUUCAACAUACAGAUACCUUGUUAGGCUAGGGAUGAAAAGUUUUGUAUAAUUUGUAGUUUGGAUUCUGUGGUCGUGAAUACGACGAGGUCUUGCUACUUUUGUUUUCCUGGACUUUGUAUUUAUAAAUUUUAAUGUGAUGAAGAAAAUUCACCUUUGCAUGCUUUGCUAGAAUAAGAGGGAGACGGGGGAGAAAAAAAAAAAAAUCUCAAAGUUGUUUUAAAUUUAAAUGUAAUAUCUGUUACAAAUAUUGGAUUCAUAAGCUUAAAUAAUGCUACAAAUUUUAGGUUUUAAAACUUGAGUCACAUUAAUUUUUUAUUUUUGAAAAUUCAUUUUAUUUUGUAAAAUGAUUCGAUCAACAAACCCAUUAUAGCUUAACUCUAACCAUCAAUAUGGGAUUAUGUUGAUCACAUAUUGUGUGUGUGUGUGUGUGUGUGUCUAUAUAUUCUUCCUAUCAGUACUGCUGGAUUGUCCAUUCAUUAGAACCAACGGCUAUUAGUUGAUGAUAUGCUCUUUAUUUGAGUUUCAUCCUAAGCUUUGUUUCAAGUCUAAAUUUUUAUUUGUUAGAUUUAUUUGACUUAAAUUUUAAUUGCAAGUUUAUCUUGCACAUACAUUUAAAUUGUUAAUGUAUUUUUAUUUCCUUUUGGCCUCUAAAUUUUUUAAAAACCACUCAAAUGUUUAUUGCUCUCACAUACCAUCAGAUUAAAAUACUUAAUAAAAAGGGAGAAUGGCGGUUAAAUCCCAAAAGAUUAAGUUAAUGGCAGUUAGUUUUCCAAAAUUUUUUAAAAAUAAAUUGUAAAUAUCAGUUUAAAUAGUUAUAAAUAAAAAUUUAUGUUACUGGUACUCUUUGAUAUUUAAAUGCUUAUUUGUAAUAGAAAUUCAUAAAUUUUUAAUUGUUUGGAUUGAUAUCUUUGACUUAUUUUUCAAACAAAUUGUCGAACUUAACUAUUAUUAUUUCAAUAUUUUGGGAUUUAAUUAAACCAAUUAUAGUUCACUAAGACCUGCCUUAAAAUUUCAUGUAAAUAAAAUUUCUUGUAUAUAAAAUUUUUGACGAAGUGAUGAGGAUUUCAUUGUUCCUAUAUACUUGUUGGUAUUAAUUGACUUAUGUUUUCCAAAACAAAAAGAGGUAUUAAUUAACAUAUACUCUUUCUUUUUGUCUCUAUAAAAAUUGUAUUCCUUUCGUUAAAAAAUGUAAGGUAUUUUUUAACGAGUUGGAUUUUUUAAAAUGUAAGGCAUUUUUAGUCUUUUGAAGUGUAAUCAUUGUAUUUUUUUUAAAAGUGCUUCUAUUGAUGAAUGACUUUAUAUUUAUUGUAAGGUGUUUAAUGGUGGUAAAUAUAAAAUGAUAGAGUUAGUUUGAAAGUAGGUAAUUACUUUAUUGGAGGAUGAGAUUCGGUUAAAAAUGUCUUAUAUUUUUUAACACAGAGAGUAUUCUUUGUAUAAGUUUAUUUUAUUACUAAUCGUGAGCGUUACCUACCAUCAUGAUAUUAACUGUCAUAUUAUUAAGGAUAAAAUUAAAAAAUUAUUGUAAUUUUGUGUGUUUUGAACUAAAUACCAAACUUUUAUUAGUAUAUUGGAUUUAAAGACAUCUUUUAUGUAGGGAUGAAUGGAGUGACAGAUUGCACUUGAGUAUUAUAAAGAUAAAUUAAUCGACAAGCUGAUGUGCCAUUGCUGGUUUUCCACUUAUAUUGUUGUCUCUUAUCUCUGAUGUCCCAUUCAAAAAACCAAAAUAUUGGUUUCACCCAAUUAAGUCAAGGUUCAUUGAACACUUCAAGAUACUUCUUCCAUUUCCAUAUUCUCGAUCUUUCUCUCGCUCUGUUUUUUUUUUUUUAUUACUUGAUACCUUGGAAAACCUGAGAUUCUACCACCUGCAUAGACAUUCUCGAUCUCUUUUAGCUUUCCUUUAUUUUUUUUUUAUUUCUUUGGUUUUCCCCUCACAAUUCUCUCUUUUAGUAUUAACUAUUGUCUUUUGGAACUAAGAAAUAUAUAUCAAUCAAAGGACUUUGGGAUUGCA